UACGUAGGGGGCAAGCGUUGUCCGGAAUCAUUGGGCGUAAAGAGCGUGUAGGCGGCCCGGUAAGUCCGCUGUGAAAGUCCAGGGCUCAACCCUGGGAUGCCGGUGGAUACUGUCGGGCUCGAGUCCGGAAGAGGAGUGUGGAAUUCCUGGUGUAGCGGUGAAAUGCGCAGAUAUCAGGAGGAACACCAAUGGCGAAGGCAGCACUCUGGGACGUGACUGACGCUGAGACGCGAAAGCGUGGGGAGCAAAAGGG
RNAcentral lists this ribosomal RNA (253 nucleotides) under uncultured bacterium. Its description in RNAcentral is "partial 16S ribosomal RNA". It matches the Rfam family "Bacterial small subunit ribosomal RNA", at positions 524 to 776 of the family's 1533-position model. The record is from RNAcentral.